GUCCACGCCGUAAACGAUGGAUACUAGCUGUUGGGUGCAAACUCAGUGGCUAAGCGAAAGUGAUAAGUAUCCCACCUGGGGAGUACGUUCGCAAGAAUGAAACUCAAAGGAAUUGACGGGGGCCCGCACAAGCGGUGGAGCAUGUGGUUUAAUUCGAUGAUACGCGAGGAACCUUACCAAGGCUUAAAUGUAGAUUGACCGGUUUGGAAACAGACUUUUCGCAAGACAAUUUACAAGGUGCUGCAUGGUUGUCGU
RNAcentral lists this ribosomal RNA (255 nucleotides) under uncultured bacterium. RNAcentral describes it as "partial 16S ribosomal RNA". It matches the Rfam family "Bacterial small subunit ribosomal RNA", at positions 793 to 1055 of the family's 1533-position model. The record is from RNAcentral.